GACGAACCGUGCGAACGUUGUUCGGAAUCACUGGGCUUAAAGGGCGCGUAGGCGGGUGCUCAAGUCCGGGGUGAAAUCCCACAGCUCAACUGUGGAACUGCCUCGGAUACUGGGUGUCUCGAGGGUGGCAGGGGUAUGCGGAACUAUCGGUGGAGCGGUGAAAUGCGUUGAUAUCGAUAGGAACUCCGGUGGCGAAGGCGGCAUACUGGUCCACUUCUGACGCUGAGGCGCGAAAGCCAGGGGAGCAAACGGG
This 253-nucleotide ribosomal RNA is filed under the name uncultured bacterium. Its description in RNAcentral is "partial 16S ribosomal RNA". It matches the Rfam family "Bacterial small subunit ribosomal RNA", at positions 524 to 776 of the family's 1533-position model. The record is from RNAcentral.